This 206-nucleotide long non-coding RNA is filed under the name Phoenix dactylifera (date palm). RNAcentral describes it as "long non-coding RNA (PDAC_LNC002429)". Lineage: Eukaryota; Viridiplantae; Streptophyta; Magnoliopsida; Arecales; Arecaceae. The record is from RNAcentral.
UGGUGCAACCCGAAGACGAAGAAGAUGAAUCUGCCCCCUUCGACAGGGACUGGAUCAUGAACACAUCGUUCACUAGCUUCCUUUCUUCCACCAAUAGCCGGGCCUCCGCCGGGGCUUGGAAGCUAAGAAGCAACAAGAUGCCAGCAAUGGCUAUCACCCUGAAGAGAUUUCUGCUGACAGGUCUCAUGGUUAGAGGCUACUGAGAG